Molecule: ribosomal RNA, 253 nt
Filed under: uncultured prokaryote
Description: partial 16S ribosomal RNA
Rfam family: Bacterial small subunit ribosomal RNA
Source: RNAcentral
UACAGAGGGUGCGAGCGUUAAUCGGAAUUACUGGGCGUAAAGGGCGCGUAGGCGGCUAAAUAAGUUAGGUGUGAAAUCCCUGGGCUUAACCUAGGAAUUGCACUUAAUACUGUAUGGCUAGAGUAGAGUAGAGGGAAGUGGAAUUUCCGGUGUAGCGGUGAAAUGCGUAGAUAUCGGAAAGAACAUCAGUGGCGAAGGCGGCUUUCUGGACUUAUACUGACGCUGAGGCGCGAAAGCAUGGGUAGCAAACAGG